CGGCGGACGGGUGAGUAACGCGUGGGUAACCUGCCUCAUACAGGGGGGUAACAGUUGGAAACGGCUGCUAAUACCGCAUAAGCGCACAGUACCGCAUGGUACGGUGUGAAAAACUCCGGUGGUAUGAGAUGGACCCGCGUCUGAUUAGGUAGUUGGUGGGGUAACGGCCUACCAAGCCGACGAUCAGUAGCCGACCUGAGAGGGUGACCGGCCACAUUGGGACUGAGACACGGCCCAA
Molecule: ribosomal RNA, 238 nt
Filed under: uncultured bacterium
Lineage: Bacteria
Description: partial 16S ribosomal RNA
Rfam family: Bacterial small subunit ribosomal RNA
Source: RNAcentral